CCAGCCAGCCUUGAAGCCUGUUCCUGAUCUCGAUCUGUGUCGCAUUAUGAAAAUCAUCCUGAGCCCCGAGACCUGAUAGGGUGACAGUGAAGGAACCUACCUUGCACAGCACUGAUGAAAUAGCGGUGUCUGAGGAAGUGAAAUCGCCCAAACCUUUCCACCGCAUCACGAAUCUUGGCUGUGCUCUAACAGCUACUUUCCUGGCAUUGUAACUGAGGACGUGCACGCUCUCCCAGGCAAGGCUGGGACACAGCACACUCUGUGAUGUCAUCCCGAUCAUGGGUCACGGAUCAUUGUAUCUCAUAAGAGAUGCGUCUGCUGCUAGCAUGACAGCGGCUUCUGGUUUAGCAAAUUACCUGGAUACACGCCCCUUCCCAGAGGGAAUCCACACCCUUGUAGGGGUUCUGGUGCAAUGCUCUCAGGACCCCUCUCCAGAGGGUGAGCCACUUCAACGGGGUCCUAACAAGCCUCAACAGACAAAUAAAAUAGAGGCAGAACUAUAACCUUGAUCAGAAAUGGAAAAGAGGAAAAUGCCAUUUUGCCACCUUAAAGUCUGUGUGUUUCUCUCUCAACAGCACCAGUGAGAUGUUGCUGAAAGGAAGUUGUAUGUGUUUUACUUAGAAAUAGGGAGUAUGAGGUGUGCCUGGGUGGCUUGUGCUCA
Molecule: long non-coding RNA, 661 nt
Organism: Herpailurus yagouaroundi (jaguarundi)
Lineage: Eukaryota; Metazoa; Chordata; Mammalia; Carnivora; Felidae
Exons: 4
Source: RefSeq, a predicted model, not a curated record